UAUCAGAUGAGCCUAGGUCGGAUUAGCUAGUUGGUGGGGUAAAGGCCUACCAAGGCGACGAUCCGUAACUGGUCUGAGAGGAUGAUCAGUCACACUGGAACUGAGACACGGUCCAGGCUCCUACGGGAGGCAGCAGUGGGGAAUAUUGGACAAUGGGCGAAAGCCUGAUCCAGCCAUGCCGCGUGUGUGAAGAAGGUCUUCGGAUUGUAAAGCACUUUAAGUUGGGAGGAAGGGCAGUAAGUUAAUACCUUGCUGUUUUGACGUUACCAACAGAAUAAGCACCGGCUAACUUCGUGCCAGCAGCCGCGGUAAUACGAAGGGUGCAAGCGUUAAUCGGAAUUACUGGGCGUAAAGCGCGCGUAGGUGGUUCAGCAAGUUGGAUGUGAAAUCCCCGGGCUCAACCUGGGAACUGCAUCCAAAACUACUGAGCUAGAGUACGGUAGAGGGUGGUGGAAUUUCCUGUGUAGCGGUGAAAUGCGUAGAUAUAGGAAGGAACACCAGUGGCGAAGGCGACCACCUGGACUGAUAC
RNAcentral lists this ribosomal RNA (529 nucleotides) under uncultured Pseudomonadota bacterium. RNAcentral's name for it is "bacterial SSU rRNA". It matches the Rfam family "Bacterial small subunit ribosomal RNA", at positions 219 to 740 of the family's 1533-position model. The record is from RNAcentral. Lineage: Bacteria; Pseudomonadati; Pseudomonadota.